Cucurbita pepo subsp. pepo (vegetable marrow) is the source of this 1245-nucleotide non-coding RNA. NCBI's taxonomy places the organism in Eukaryota, Viridiplantae, Streptophyta, Magnoliopsida, Cucurbitales, Cucurbitaceae. The record is from RefSeq and is a predicted model, not a curated record.
AAAAUAUUUACAGCAGCAGAAGUUUCCAGAAUGUUCUUGUCUUCCUCUUACAGUCUCUCCACUAAACCUUUCUAGGGUUCAUACUUGUUCCAAGAUUUCUGGUUGUUGAUUUUCACUCUUCUGUCCCUGCUCCAUUCUCGAGGAUUCCUCUCAGAUGGGCCCGUAGAAAAGAUAGUUAUCUGUAAAUAUUACUGAUGAGGAAGUCCUUUCUUCAGGAAGCUUGACCAAGAGGAUAAUGAUGAUGUAGAAAGAGCAGAUAUCAUUCCAUUCUGACUCUUCCAUGUUUGAAGGCAUAGAAGAUUACUCCCACCAAAUUGGAGGGAUGAUUGGGCUAAUAAAUGCAUCUAAUAUCAUACAGGAGAACUUUGGCUCAGGUCCAUCCCUAUGUAGUGAAGACCAUUGUGUCUAAUCUCAAUAUUAUCAACCUAUUGAAGACUGCAAUCAUUGGAACAAAAAGCUCUAGGUGGGUACUUGUGGAAGAGAGGACAUGGCCUUCUAGAGCUAACUUAAACAAGAGUGAACUUGAAAUCACCCGAAGAGACUCGAUGAUGAUGAUCCUUCUCCCUCAUAUAACAUGCUACGUGUCACAAUUGCACUAUUGCGGCAGUAGGACAGCGAUUGUGCGACAUUUGUCCUAACCAGCGAACAUGUUGGCUAUGUGAACACUUUGCGGACAAUAACGGCGUAUGCUCGAGCCUCGAAUCAUGUUUGAGAGAAAUGUAUGUUUUGGGGCAUUUGAUAGCAUAUAACUUGAGUAGGCAACAACAAUGGUUUUGAUAGCAUAUAACCUAGGUGAGAAGAUUUGGCAACUAGUCACAUUCUCACAUGGUACAUUUUGGGGCAUUUUAGCUUAAGUGGGGGUAGACAUGAUUUUGUGACGGAUUAUACACCCCGUAUCGAAACAACAACAAUAAUAAUAGGAGCCUAUCUAACAUGAAAAUAAGUAAAAAGGAUUUAGAACAAGCAUGCUGCCCUGGACAACACGUCUUGGAAAAGCAUGACCAAAGCAUUCGACAUGUAGUCAUAGGCAACACGUCUUGGACAAGCAUAAUGUUGCAUAUGAUAUGGUGCAUGCUGAUGGUAUCUUGUUCCUCGAAGCUCCUCAACAUCGUUGCACCAUGCUUCAUCUGUUAACUGAGAUUGAUUGGUUACAUCGCCAUAAAAGUUCAAUGAUAUAAUUGUAAGUGAUCCAAUCUUGUAAUGAUGAAGGUAGAAGAGAUUCCAUGAAAAAGUUGAUAAAGCUUA